RNAcentral lists this ribosomal RNA (440 nucleotides) under uncultured bacterium. RNAcentral describes it as "partial 16S ribosomal RNA". It matches the Rfam family "Bacterial small subunit ribosomal RNA", at positions 338 to 795 of the family's 1533-position model. The record is from RNAcentral.
CCUACGGGUGGCAGCAGUGGGGGAUAUUGCACAAUGGGGGGAACCCUGAUGCAGCGACGCCGCGUGGGUGAAGAAGCGCCUCGGCGUGUAAAGCCCUGUCUGCAGGGAAGAAAAUGAUGGUACCUGAAGCAGAAGCACCGGCUAACGACGGGCCAGCAGCCGCGGCAACACGGAGGGGGCAAGCGUUAUCCGGAUUUACUGGGUGUAAAGGGGGCGCAGUCGGCGAUGCAAGCCAGGAGUGAAAGCCCGGGGCCCAACCCCGGGACUGCACUUGAAACUGGGUGGCUGGAGUGCAGUAGAGGCAGGCGGAAUUCGUGGUGUAGCGGUGAAAUGCGUAGAUAUCAGGAGGAACACCGGUGGCGAAGGCGGCCUGCUGGACUGCAACUGACGUUGAGGCCCGAAAGCGUGGGGAGCAAACAGGAUUAGAUACCCGGGUAGUC